AGUCGUCGGUAACGUGGCCGCAGCCCGAGAGCGUGACGGACGCCAGGUUGGGGCACCUGUGAGGAGAGUGCGGUGACCCGGGGCUCACUGGCUUGUUAAAGCUACCCAACCGCCCCAUGGGACCGAGUGGACUCAUUUACCGAGGAGGACUCGGGCCCUGCGAGGUCACUUCAUCCUGGCCCAGGUACUGCAGCUCCAAAUCGUGGGGAUUCUGUAAGAGCUUGCUACCUGUUGACUGAGGAGGCCCACGAGUUGAGAAGAACUAGCAAGAGUGGUACAAAACUGCAGGUCAUUGGGCUGGCCACCAGGUAUUCCCACCCACCAGAAGCUGGCUGUUGUACUCACCCGGAACCAUGGUGCACCACCACAGCGGCGAGGUCAUACAGGCAGCUCUCCGGGCCACUGUUCUCAGGCUACAGAACAAGGAAGAAGGAGCAGUGGUCAAUGACAUCAGUAUCUCGAUGACCUCUACCCUCUCCAUGUGAUGACAAUCUUACUGAAGAGCCAUUUUUUCACCAUGCUAAAAAGGGAAGAGGAGCACAGCAGUAACGCUGAUGGGAAGAAGGUGCUGACAGAUGGACUCACUGGGGUCACGGCAACAAUCGACAGUACAGGUGGCAAACAUUGUGUAAAAUACUCCAAAUCCAAGACACACAUUUAUAAAAGUCUGUAACAGGU
This 678-nucleotide long non-coding RNA is filed under the name Homo sapiens (human). RNAcentral describes it as "HSALNT0381765". Lineage: Eukaryota; Metazoa; Chordata; Mammalia; Primates; Hominidae. The record is from RNAcentral.